CAAUAGCGUAUAUUUAAGUUGUUGCAGUUAAAAAGCUCGUAGUUGGAUUUCGGGUGUCAUCUGUCGGUCCGCCGUUUCGGUGUGCACUGACGGGUCUCAUCUUUCUGUCGAGGACGCGCUCCUGUCCUUCACUGGUCGGGACGCGGAGUCGGCGAUGUUACUUUGAAAAAAUUAGAGUGUUCAAAGCGGGCUUACGCUUGAAUAUUUCAGCAUGGAAUAACACUAUAGGACUCCUGUCCUAUUUCGUUGGUCUCGGGACGGGAGUAAUGAUUAAGAGGAACAGUUGGGGGCAUUCGUAUUUCAUUGUCAGAGGUGAAAUUCUUGGAUUUAUGAAAGACGAACUUCUGCGAAAGCAUUUGCCAAGGAUGUUUUCAUUAA
Molecule: ribosomal RNA, 378 nt
Filed under: uncultured eukaryote
Lineage: Eukaryota
Description: partial 18S ribosomal RNA
Rfam family: Eukaryotic small subunit ribosomal RNA
Source: RNAcentral